RNAcentral lists this long non-coding RNA (757 nucleotides) under Brassica napus (rape). RNAcentral describes it as "long non-coding RNA (BNAP_LNC003281)". The record is from RNAcentral. Lineage: Eukaryota; Viridiplantae; Streptophyta; Magnoliopsida; Brassicales; Brassicaceae.
UUAGUUAGGUAACUUCAAUGUAUAUGAUUAAUGCUGAGUAGUGGCUAAUGCCGAUAAAUGUAUUUUAUAUGAAAAGAAAAUAUAUAUUAAAUCAUACUUUAUGAGCAUUUUUCCCUUCCUAAUAAGUGAUAUCCGAUUAUCUUGUAUAUGCGUAAUGGAUACAAUAAUCUUUAUAUUUAUUUUGGGUGGGGUUUGAAUUUUAGAGUUGUUUACAUAGAAGGUUACUUUUCCUGUUUUGUUUGCAUCUUCACAUACUCUGGACUUGAGGAGUACUUUGUGACUUACUUUAUCAUUUUUUCUUCCAAAAAUGCUCUUUUGUAGGACAGGAUGGACUUCGUGGUUAAGAAAUAAGGGUUGAAGGAACUAGGUUUGAGUAUCUAGUUAGAUUGUCCGGUUCCAAUUAAUGGAUAGGUGCAUGAGACAGUGGGCUUUAUGGUGAGCCGUUAGAUUUAGUUAUUUUUGAAAGGGAUCCGACGGCUAUUGUUAAAAGAAGUACAUCGCUACUAAAAGCGGUAACGUGAGUUUAUAAUUAAUAUGUAUCAGAUUUAUGGAGCUCUGAGCUUUUAGCACAGCCGAUAGAUUUUUUUAUUUUAAGAAUGAUCUGAUGGUUGGUGUCUAAUCCAUGGUUAAGGUAGUUGUGGUUGAAUUGUGUGCGGCAGGAAGCAGUUGUGGUCAUGAAUUUUGAUGUAGUGAAAGGCAUGGUUAUGGACGCAUAAUUGUUGUGGUUAGUGAAAUUAGUUGACAGGAGCGUGGACAA